GACGAACGCUGGCGGCGUGCUUAACACAUGCAAGUCGAACGGAAAGGCCCUGCUUUUGUGGGGUGCUCGAGUGGCGAACGGGUGAGUAACACGUGAGUAACCUGCCCUUGACUUUGGGAUAACUUCAGGAAACUGGGGCUAAUACCGGAUAGGAGCUCCUGCUGCAUGGUGGGGGUUGGAACGUUUCGGCGGUUGGGGAUGGACUCGCGGCUGAUCAGCUUGUUGGUGGGGUAGUGGCUUACCAAGGCUUUGACGGGUAGCCGGCCUGAGAGGGUGACCGGCCACAUUGGGACUGAGAUACGGCCCAGACUCCUACGGGAGGCAGCAGUGGGGAGUAUUGCACAAUGGGCGGAAGCCUGAUGCAGCAACGCCGCGUGCGGGAUGACGGCCUUCGGGUUGUAAACCGCUUUCGCCUGUGACGAAGCGUGAGUGACGGUAAUGGGUAAAGAAGCACCGGCUAACUACGUG
This 468-nucleotide ribosomal RNA is filed under the name uncultured bacterium. RNAcentral's name for it is "partial 16S ribosomal RNA". It matches the Rfam family "Bacterial small subunit ribosomal RNA", at positions 28 to 507 of the family's 1533-position model. The record is from RNAcentral.